RNAcentral lists this ribosomal RNA (2903 nucleotides) under Escherichia coli. RNAcentral's name for it is "23S ribosomal RNA". It matches the Rfam family "Bacterial large subunit ribosomal RNA". Lineage: Bacteria; Pseudomonadati; Pseudomonadota; Gammaproteobacteria; Enterobacterales; Enterobacteriaceae. The record is from RNAcentral.
UUAAGCGACUAAGCGUACACGGUGGAUGCCCUGGCAGUCAGAGGCGAUGAAGGACGUGCUAAUCUGCGAUAAGCGUCGGUAAGGUGAUAUGAACCGUUAUAACCGGCGAUUUCCGAAUGGGGAAACCCAGUGUGUUUCGACACACUAUCAUUAACUGAAUCCAUAGGUUAAUGAGGCGAACCGGGGGAACUGAAACAUCUAAGUACCCCGAGGAAAAGAAAUCAACCGAGAUUCCCCCAGUAGCGGCGAGCGAACGGGGAGCAGCCCAGAGCCUGAAUCAGUGUGUGUGUUAGUGGAAGCGUCUGGAAAGGCGCGCGAUACAGGGUGACAGCCCCGUACACAAAAAUGCACAUGCUGUGAGCUCGAUGAGUAGGGCGGGACACGUGGUAUCCUGUCUGAAUAUGGGGGGACCAUCCUCCAAGGCUAAAUACUCCUGACUGACCGAUAGUGAACCAGUACCGUGAGGGAAAGGCGAAAAGAACCCCGGCGAGGGGAGUGAAAAAGAACCUGAAACCGUGUACAUACAAGCAGUGGGAGCACAGAGCAAUCUGUGUGACUGCGUACCUUUUGUAUAAUGGGUCAGCGACUUAUAUUCUGUAGCAAGGUUAACCGAAUAGGGGAGCCGAAGGGAAACCGAGUCUUAACUGGGCGUUAAGUUGCAGGGUAUAGACCCGAAACCCGGUGAUCUAGCCAUGGGCAGGUUGAAGGUUGGGUAACACUAACUGGAGGACCGAACCGACUAAUGUUGAAAAAUUAGCGGAUGACUUGUGGCUGGGGGUGAAAGGCCAAUCAAACCGGGAGAUAGCUGGUUCUCCCCGAAAGCUAUUUAGGUAGCGCCUCGUGAAUUCAUCUCCGGGGGUAGAGCACUGUUUCGGCAAGGGGGUCAUCCCGACUUACCAACCCGAUGCAAACUGCGAAUACCGGAGAAUGUUAUCACGGGAGACACACGGCGGGUGCUAACGUCCGUCGUGAAGAGGGAAACAACCCAGACCGCCAGCUAAGGUCCCAAAGUCAUGGUUAAGUGGGAAACGAUGUGGGAAGGCCCAGACAGCCAGGAUGUUGGCUUAGAAGCAGCCAUCAUUUAAAGAAAGCGUAAUAGCUCACUGGUCGAGUCGGCCUGCGCGGAAGAUGUAACGGGGCUAAACCAUGCACCGAAGCUGCGGCAGCGACGCUGAUGCGUUGUUGGGUAGGGGAGCGUUCUGUAAGCCUGCGAAGGUGUGCUGUGAGGCAUGCUGGAGGUAUCAGAAGUGCGAAUGCUGACAUAAGUAACGAUAAAGCGGGUGAAAAGCCCGCUCGCCGGAAGACCAAGGGUUCCUGUCCAACGUUAAUCGGGGCAGGGUGAGUCGACCCCUAAGGCGAGGCCGAAAGGCGUAGUCGAUGGGAAACAGGUUAAUAUUCCUGUACUUGGUGUUACUGCGAAGGGGGGACGGAGAAGGCUAUGUUGGCCGGGCGACGGUUGUCCCGGUUUAAGCGUGUAGGCUGGUUUUCCAGGCAAAUCCGGAAAAUCAAGGCUGAGGCGUGAUGACGAGGCACUACGGUGCUGAAGCAACAAAUGCCCUGCUUCCAGGAAAAGCCUCUAAGCAUCAGGUAACAUCAAAUCGUACCCCAAACCGACACAGGUGGUCAGGUAGAGAAUACCAAGGCGCUUGAGAGAACUCGGGUGAAGGAACUAGGCAAAAUGGUGCCGUAACUUCGGGAGAAGGCACGCUGAUAUGUAGGUGAAGCGACUUGCUCGUGGAGCUGAAAUCAGUCGAAGAUACCAGCUGGCUGCAACUGUUUAUUAAAAACACAGCACUGUGCAAACACGAAAGUGGACGUAUACGGUGUGACGCCUGCCCGGUGCCGGAAGGUUAAUUGAUGGGGUCAGCGCAAGCGAAGCUCUUGAUCGAAGCCCCGGUAAACGGCGGCCGUAACUAUAACGGUCCUAAGGUAGCGAAAUUCCUUGUCGGGUAAGUUCCGACCUGCACGAAUGGCGUAAUGAUGGCCAGGCUGUCUCCACCCGAGACUCAGUGAAAUUGAACUCGCUGUGAAGAUGCAGUGUACCCGCGGCAAGACGGAAAGACCCCGUGAACCUUUACUAUAGCUUGACACUGAACAUUGAGCCUUGAUGUGUAGGAUAGGUGGGAGGCUUUGAAGUGUGGACGCCAGUCUGCAUGGAGCCGACCUUGAAAUACCACCCUUUAAUGUUUGAUGUUCUAACGUGGACCCGUAAUCCGGGUUGCGGACAGUGUCUGGUGGGUAGUUUGACUGGGGCGGUCUCCUCCUAAAGAGUAACGGAGGAGCACGAAGGUUGGCUAAUCCUGGUCGGACAUCAGGAGGUUAGUGCAAUGGCAUAAGCCAGCUUGACUGCGAGCGUGACGGCGCGAGCAGGUGCGAAAGCAGGUCAUAGUGAUCCGGUGGUUCUGAAUGGAAGGGCCAUCGCUCAACGGAUAAAAGGUACUCCGGGGAUAACAGGCUGAUACCGCCCAAGAGUUCAUAUCGACGGCGGUGUUUGGCACCUCGAUGUCGGCUCAUCACAUCCUGGGGCUGAAGUAGGUCCCAAGGGUAUGGCUGUUCGCCAUUUAAAGUGGUACGCGAGCUGGGUUUAGAACGUCGUGAGACAGUUCGGUCCCUAUCUGCCGUGGGCGCUGGAGAACUGAGGGGGGCUGCUCCUAGUACGAGAGGACCGGAGUGGACGCAUCACUGGUGUUCGGGUUGUCAUGCCAAUGGCACUGCCCGGUAGCUAAAUGCGGAAGAGAUAAGUGCUGAAAGCAUCUAAGCACGAAACUUGCCCCGAGAUGAGUUCUCCCUGACUCCUUGAGAGUCCUGAAGGAACGUUGAAGACGACGACGUUGAUAGGCCGGGUGUGUAAGCGCAGCGAUGCGUUGAGCUAACCGGUACUAAUGAACCGUGAGGCUUAACCU